CCAAUAGCGUAUAUUAAAGUUGUUGCAGUUAAAAAGCUCGUAGUUGAAUUUCGGGGUUAAUAAGUUGGUCAUACCUAUGGUAUGUACUGGCUUCAUUGAUUCCUACCUCUUGACGAACUGUGAUGCCAUUAAUUUGGUGUUGCAAGGAAUCAGGACUGUUACCUUGAAAAAAUUAGAGUGUUUAAAGCAGGCUUACGCUUGAAUACAUUAGCAUGGAAUA
RNAcentral lists this ribosomal RNA (220 nucleotides) under uncultured Glomus. RNAcentral's name for it is "partial small subunit ribosomal RNA". It matches the Rfam family "Eukaryotic small subunit ribosomal RNA", at positions 591 to 816 of the family's 1831-position model. Lineage: Eukaryota; Fungi; Glomeromycota; Glomeromycetes; Glomerales; Glomeraceae. The record is from RNAcentral.